CCUACGGGAGACUGCAGUGGGGAAUAUUGGACAAUGGGGGCAACCCUGAUCCAGCCAUGCCGCGUGUGUGAAGAAGGCCCUCGGGUUGUAAAGCACUUUCAGUGAGGAAGAACGCCUGGUGGUUAAUACCCAUCAGGAAAGACAUCACUCACAGAAGAAGCACCGGCUAACUCCGUGCCAGCAGCCGCGGUAAUACGGAGGGUGCGAGCGUUAAUCGGAAUUACUGGGCGUAAAGCGCGCGUAGGUGGCUUGAUAAGCCGGUUGUGAAAGCCCCGGGCUCAACCUGGGAACGGCAUCCGGAACUGUCAAGCUAGAGUGCAGGAGAGGAAGGUAGAAUUCCCGGUGUAGCGGUGAAAUGCGUAGAGAUCGGGAGGAAUACCAGUGGCGAAGGCGGCCUUCUGGACUGACACUGACACUGAGGUGCGAAAGCGUGGGUAGCAAACAGGAUUAGAUACCCUAGUAGUC
Molecule: ribosomal RNA, 465 nt
Filed under: Vreelandella stevensii
Lineage: Bacteria; Pseudomonadati; Pseudomonadota; Gammaproteobacteria; Oceanospirillales; Halomonadaceae
Description: partial 16S ribosomal RNA
Rfam family: Bacterial small subunit ribosomal RNA
Source: RNAcentral